RNAcentral lists this ribosomal RNA (300 nucleotides) under uncultured Roseomonas sp. RNAcentral describes it as "bacterial SSU rRNA". The stretch from base 52 to 300 matches the Rfam family "Bacterial small subunit ribosomal RNA", at positions 547 to 795 of the family's 1533-position model. The record is from RNAcentral. Lineage: Bacteria; Pseudomonadati; Pseudomonadota; Alphaproteobacteria; Acetobacterales; Roseomonadaceae.
AUGUAAUACGUGCCGGUAGCGGUGGGAAUCAUUAAUAUCAAGGACUUGGACGGAUUUAUUUGGAGGAAAGCUAGAGCAGAAGGUUAUUUAAGACUGAAGUGAAAGCGCUGAGCGUAACUGAGGAAAGGCGUUGGAAGCUGGAUGACUGGAGAGAAGUGGAGGAAAGUGGAACUCCAUGUGUAGCGGUGAAAUGCGUAGAUAUAUGGAAGAACACCAGUGGCGAAGGCGGCUUUCUGGACUGUAACUGACGUUGAGGCUCGAAAGUGUGGGUAGCAAACAGGAUUAGAUACCCCAGUCGUC